AUUGAACGCUGGCGGCAGGCCUAACACAUGCAAGUCGAGCGAGCGGCGGACGGGUGAGCAAUGUCUGGGAUACUGCCUGAUGGAGGGGGAUAACUACUGGAAACGGUAGCUAAUAACGCAUACCAUCAGAUUUGCCCAGAUGGGAUUAGCUAGUAGGUGGGGUAACGGCUCACCUAGUCGACGAUCCCUAGCUGGUCUGAGAGGAUGACCAGCGAGACUGGAACUGAGACAGGGUCCAGACUCCUACGGGAGGCAGCAGUGGAGAAUAUUGAACAAUGGGAGCAAGCCUGAUGCAGCCAUGCGGCGUGUGUGAAGAAGGCCUUCGGGUUGUAAAGCACUUUCAGCGGGGAGACGUUACCCGCAGAAGAAGCACCGGCUAACUCCGUGCCAGCAGCCGCGGUAAUAC
This 406-nucleotide ribosomal RNA is filed under the name uncultured bacterium. Its description in RNAcentral is "partial 16S ribosomal RNA". It matches the Rfam family "Bacterial small subunit ribosomal RNA", at positions 30 to 526 of the family's 1533-position model. The record is from RNAcentral.